AACUUUGGACAAUGGUGGAAACCCUGACCCAGCCUUCCCGCGUGAAUGAUGAAGGCCUUCGGGUUGUAAAGUACUUUUGGCAGAGAAGAAAAGGUAUCUCCUAAUACGAGCUCCUGCUGACGGUAUCUCCAGAGUAAGCACCGGCUAACUACGUGCCAGCAGCCGCGGUAACACGUAGGGUGCAAGCGUUAAUCGGAAUUAGCGGGCGUAAAGCGUGUGUAGGCGGUUCGGAAAGAAAGAUGUGGAAUCCCAGGGCUCAACCUUGGAGCUGCAUUUUUAACUGCCGAGCUAGAGUAUGUCAGAGGGGGGUAGAAUUCCACGUGUAGCAGUGAAAUGCGUAGAUAUGUGGAGGAAUACCGAUGGCGAAGGCAGCCCCCUGGGAUAAUACUGACGCUCAGACACGAAAGCGUGGGGAGCAAACA
This 422-nucleotide ribosomal RNA is filed under the name uncultured bacterium. Its description in RNAcentral is "partial 16S ribosomal RNA". It matches the Rfam family "Bacterial small subunit ribosomal RNA", at positions 360 to 774 of the family's 1533-position model. The record is from RNAcentral.